UAUAUUAAAAUAUGGAAUGGCCCAUUAAAGUACCAACAAUUAUCUCUUAAUUAAUACCCGGUUCUACUUCUUUCACGAUACCUUUUAAAAGCAUUCUCACAAUCUUCGCGACUUUGCUGUGCAUUUGCACCGCUGUAAUAAUAAUUCCAGACUGUCUUGGGUAGAAAUUCUUGAGCGUGCUUUUCAAAAUCGUCGAUACACACAGGAUCGCCAGCCAUCUUUGGAAGAUGUAUCCAAAAUCCAAUAUUUCAAUGGUAUAUUUUCACAAAAUAUUUUCACCAGUACCUGAUCUCAAAUUAAGAACUGGACCACAUCUCCAUCAAGUUUUAAAAACUCACUUUGGAAAUCAGCCUCGGUUGACAUGCU
Molecule: non-coding RNA, 366 nt
Organism: Paramuricea clavata
Lineage: Eukaryota; Metazoa; Cnidaria; Anthozoa; Malacalcyonacea; Plexauridae
Source: the annotation of a GenBank genome assembly